AUGCCUAGAUCCCGUGUAAAUGGAAAUUUCAUUGAUAAGACCUCCUCAAUUGUAGCCAAUAUUUUAUUGCGAAUAAUUCCGACAACCUCAGGAGAAAAAAAGGCAUUUACUUAUUAUAGAGAUGGGAUGUUGGCUCAAUCCGAAGGAAAUUAUGCGGAAGCUUUGCAAAAUUAUUAUGAAGCUACGCGACUAGAAAUCGAUCCCUAUGAUCGAAGUUAUAUACUCUAUAACAUAGGCCUUAUACACACAAGCAAUGGAGAGCAUACAAAGGCUUUGGAAUAUUAUUUCCGGGCACUAGAACGAAACCCCUUCUUACCGCAAGCUUUUAAUAAUAUGGCCGUGAUCUGA
This 348-nucleotide ribosomal RNA is filed under the name Triticum aestivum (bread wheat). Its description in RNAcentral is "partial small subunit ribosomal RNA". The record is from RNAcentral. Lineage: Eukaryota; Viridiplantae; Streptophyta; Magnoliopsida; Poales; Poaceae.